This 704-nucleotide ribosomal RNA is filed under the name Bellendena montana. Its description in RNAcentral is "eukaryotic LSU rRNA". The stretch from base 277 to 432 matches the Rfam family "5.8S ribosomal RNA". Lineage: Eukaryota; Viridiplantae; Streptophyta; Magnoliopsida; Proteales; Proteaceae. The record is from RNAcentral.
GUAGGUGAACCUGCGGAAGGAUCAUUGUUGAAUACCUGCCCAGAGGAGAGACCUGCGAACAUGUUUCACCGUGAUAGGGGUGGAGGAUGGUAGGGAUGAGACAGUCCCUUCCUCCUUUACUCUCCUAAGGUCGUCGGUUUGCGAGCCAUCGUGGCCUUCGACCCAACAUAACAAUCGGCGUGGUUGGCGCCAAGUAAAUCAUAUAAUGGAACACGGACGUGCCAUUGUUGCGCCAUUGGCGUUGAAUGUGCCGUCUUCAAUCCAAAUCUCAUGAAUGACUCUCGACAACGGAUAUCUCGGCUCUCGCAUCGAUGAAGAACGUAGCGAAAUGCGAUACUUGGUGUGAAUUGCAGAAUCCCGUGAACCAUCGAGUCUUUGAACGCAAGUUGCGCCCUAGGCCAUUCGGCCGAGGGCACGCCUGCCUGGGCGUCACGCAUCUUGUUUGCCCGCCCUUUGUCACCCUCAUGGUGGUAGAGUGCGGAGCGGAGAUUGGCCUCCUGUGCCCCUAUUGUGGGUGUGGUUGGCCCAAAGGCAAGGCCUCCAGAGUGGCGAGUGUCAUGACGAGUGGUGGUCAAAGCCCACUUUGCCAUAGCCCGGAUGUUGUGUGCACAUCGCCUCUCUUGGGCUCUAGAGACCCUGAUCAUGUGUCGUUUUGUGACGGCACUUCAAAUGCGACCCCAGGUCAUGCGGGGCUACUCGCUGAG